RNAcentral lists this ribosomal RNA (493 nucleotides) under uncultured bacterium. RNAcentral describes it as "partial 16S ribosomal RNA". It matches the Rfam family "Bacterial small subunit ribosomal RNA", at positions 30 to 523 of the family's 1533-position model. The record is from RNAcentral.
AUUGAACGCUGGCGGCAUGCUUUACACAUGCAAGUCGAACGGUAACGGGUUAAGCUGACGAGUGGCGAACGGGUGAGUAAUGCAUCGGAACGUGCCCGGUCGUGGGGGAUAACGCAGCGAAAGUUGCGCUAAUACCGCAUACGAUCUGAGGAUGAAAGCGGGGGACCGUAAGGCCUCGCGCGAUCGGAGCAGCCGAUGUCAGAUUAGGUAGUUGGUGGGGUAAAGGCUCACCAAGCCAACGAUCUGUAGCUGGUCUGAGAGGACGACCAGCCACACUGGGACUGAGACACGGCCCAGACUCCUACGGGAGGCAGCAGUGGGGAAUUUUGGACAAUGGGCGAAAGCCUGAUCCAGCAAUGCCGCGUGCAGGAAGAAGGCCUUCGGGUUGUAAACUGCUUUUGUACGGAGCGAAAAGGUCUCCUCUAAUACAGGGGGCUCAUGACGGUACCGUAAGAAUAAGCACCGGCUAACUACGUGCCAGCCGCCGCCGUAA